CACAAGCAGCGGAGCGUGUGGUUUAAUUCGAUGCUACACGAAGAACCUUACCAGGGUUUGACAUGCAAGUGGUAGGAAACCGAAAGGCGACCGACCCUUCGGGAGCUUGCACAGGUGCUGCAUGGCUGUCGUCAGCUCGUGUCGUGAGAUGUUCGGUUAAGUCCGCUAACGAGCGCAACCCUCGCUGUGUGUUACAAGUGUCACACGGUACUGCCGGUCUUAAGCCGGAGGAAGGUGGGGAUGACGUCAAGUCCUCAUGGCCCUUAUGGGUAGGGCUUCACACGUCAUACAAUGGUCGGUACAGAGGGUUGCCAAGCCGCGAGGUGGAGCCAAUCCCUUAAAGCCGAUCGUAGUCCGGAUCGUAGUCUGCAACUCGACUACGUGAAGUCGGAAUCGCUAGUAAUCGUGGAUCAGCAUGUCACGGUGAAUACGUUCCCGGGCCUU
Molecule: ribosomal RNA, 444 nt
Filed under: uncultured Anaerolineaceae bacterium
Lineage: Bacteria; Bacillati; Chloroflexota; Anaerolineae; Anaerolineales; Anaerolineaceae
Description: bacterial SSU rRNA
Rfam family: Bacterial small subunit ribosomal RNA
Source: RNAcentral